This 854-nucleotide ribosomal RNA is filed under the name Escherichia coli. RNAcentral's name for it is "partial 23S ribosomal RNA". It matches the Rfam family "Bacterial large subunit ribosomal RNA", at positions 418 to 1271 of the family's 2925-position model. Lineage: Bacteria; Pseudomonadati; Pseudomonadota; Gammaproteobacteria; Enterobacterales; Enterobacteriaceae. The record is from RNAcentral.
CGGGACACGUGGUAUCCUGUCUGAAUAUGGGGGGACCAUCCUCCAAGGCUAAAUACUCCUGACUGACCGAUAGUGAACCAGUACCGUGAGGGAAAGGCGAAAAGAACCCCGGCGAGGGGAGUGAAAAAGAACCUGAAACCGUGUACGUACAAGCAGUGGGAGCACGCUUAGGCGUGUGACUGCGUACCUUUUGUAUAAUGGGUCAGCGACUUAUAUUCUGUAGCAAGGUUAACCGAAUAGGGGAGCCGAAGGGAAACCGAGUCUUAACUGGGCGUUAAGUUGCAGGGUAUAGACCCGAAACCCGGUGAUCUAGCCAUGGGCAGGUUGAAGGUUGGGUAACACUAACUGGAGGACCGAACCGACUAAUGUUGAAAAAUUAGCGGAUGACUUGUGGCUGGGGGUGAAAGGCCAAUCAAACCGGGAGAUAGCUGGUUCUCCCCGAAAGCUAUUUAGGUAGCGCCUCGUGAAUUCAUCUCCGGGGGUAGAGCACUGUUUCGGCAAGGGGGUCAUCCCGACUUACCAACCCGAUGCAAACUGCGAAUACCGGAGAAUGUUAUCACGGGAGACACACGGCGGGUGCUAACGUCCGUCGUGAAGAGGGAAACAACCCAGACCGCCAGCUAAGGUCCCAAAGUCAUGGUUAAGUGGGAAACGAUGUGGGAAGGCCCAGACAGCCAGGAUGUUGGCUUAGAAGCAGCCAUCAUUUAAAGAAAGCGUAAUAGCUCACUGGUCGAGUCGGCCUGCGCGGAAGAUGUAACGGGGCUAAACCAUGCACCGAAGCUGCGGCAGCGACGCUGAUGCGUUGUUGGGUAGGGGAGCGUUCUGUAAGCCUGUGAAGGUGUGCUGUGAGGCAU